AGUUGUCUGCGUAGGGUACAGAGGUAAGAUGUUCUAUCUUUCAGACCUUUUAUUUCACGUAAUUGAAUGUGGCUGAAUAGCUGCCCCGAUGAGGUUCUCGUCGGGGUGUUUUUUU
This 115-nucleotide non-coding RNA is filed under the name Aeromonas veronii. Lineage: Bacteria; Pseudomonadati; Pseudomonadota; Gammaproteobacteria; Aeromonadales; Aeromonadaceae. RNAcentral also lists the same sequence under 1 other name. The record is from RNAcentral.